CCGACGGUGAGGGGCGAAAGCCAGGGGAGCGAACGGGAUUAGAUACCCCGGUAGUCCUGGCCGUAAACGAUGCGUGUUAGGUGUUGGUAGGGCUCUGAGCCGUAUCAGUGCCGUAGGGAAACUGUUAAACGCGCCGCCUGGGAAGUACGCUCGCAAGGGUGAAACUUAAAGGAAUUGGCGGGGGAGCACCACAAGGGGUGAAGCCUGCGGUUCAAUUGGACUCAACGCCGGGAAACUUACCGGGGGC
This 247-nucleotide ribosomal RNA is filed under the name uncultured archaeon. RNAcentral describes it as "partial 16S ribosomal RNA". It matches the Rfam family "Archaeal small subunit ribosomal RNA", at positions 691 to 937 of the family's 1478-position model. The record is from RNAcentral.